Molecule: long non-coding RNA, 1267 nt
Filed under: Gossypium barbadense (sea-island cotton)
Lineage: Eukaryota; Viridiplantae; Streptophyta; Magnoliopsida; Malvales; Malvaceae
Description: long non-coding RNA (GBAR_LNC009506)
Source: RNAcentral
AAGUAGGAGGAUAAUUUCUUUUUCUAUUUUCUUGUUUCCUUCUUCCAUUCUUACCUCAAAUUUCACCACCAACCUUGCUCUUUCUUAAAUUCCAUUCUAAAAACCUCUACUCCAGCUAGUUUCCUUCAUCAUUUUCUUCCAACCACAACUUAAAAGUUUGUUGGGUAGAGUGAGAAAGCUUGAUUAUGAGUAAGAGAAAUGAUUUUUCCAUCAUCUCAUCAUGUUUAAAUUGAUUUUUUAUUUGCUUAGAAAGUAGUUAAGCCAUAUUAAUGGCUAUUUAUUAUUAUUAAUAUAAGUAUUUAUCGUCUAAUAAAGAGAAAGAAGUAGAGAGAGGGACUACAAGCAAUGUAAGGGAAAGCUUGUAGAUUGAGGAGACUUUUCUCUUAUUUUGGUAUAUUAAUGGUAAUUUCUUGUGGAAAUUUCAAGUUUCUUUGUUUAAAUGUGUUGUGUGCUUGAAUGGGUGAAUAUAAAUUAGCAUAUUAAUUCAUAAUGGUAAUUUUUAAUGUUGGCCAAGUGUAAAGAGUGUUGAAAUGGAGCUAUAGUUAAACUAAUGAGUUAUCAAACAUUUUAUAUUGUUUUGCAGUGAUAUGUAUGACUAGUGGACAUAAUUUCCAUGAUUGAAGUUUCAUGAAGUGGUGAUAACUAUGGUUGUGAUCAUUGAAAUUGUAUAUCAAUAAAAGUGUUAUGAAAUAGUUAAUGUGAUUUUUAAAAAAAAUGAAUUGAGAAUCUUAUAAUGCCUUUGUAAACUUAGUUAAAUAGCUAGGAUAUGGUUGACAUGUCAAUAAGGUAUGCAUAUGUUAGAAGAUGCAGUUUGAAACUAUGAUUGAUGCCAUAAGGCAAGUGUAUAUAGAUCCAUUUCUAUAGUAUUCAAAUGAUAACGCUUUUAGCAUAGUAUUUCAGAGAGUUUGGUUGGUUUGCCCCAAAUAUAUGAAAUUUGUUUUGCUAAGCUUACUAAGGACAACAAAAAUAAAAAUAUUGAAAAUGGAUUAUUCGGAGUAAAUUGAAUGUUAUAUGUCACUAUGAUAAAUACCAUAUUUUAUUAGUUCUUAUACCAUGGAUGGUAUUAAUGUAAUUGCAUAAAUAAUUAGAUUUGUUACCUUUAUAUGAGAAUUUUUUUUUUUUUUUUACAAUUCCUCCUCAUUUAUGCAAUCAUUAUCAAAGAGUUAAACUUUACACAUUGACCAAAAACAUGGUGGGAUGAGGUAAGUGUUUGUGAUUUCCAUUUGAACUUACUAAGUUGGUGCUUAUGCGUCGUUUUUGCGCGUAG